Molecule: ribosomal RNA, 248 nt
Filed under: uncultured Lachnospiraceae bacterium
Lineage: Bacteria; Bacillati; Bacillota; Clostridia; Lachnospirales; Lachnospiraceae
Description: partial 16S ribosomal RNA
Rfam family: Bacterial small subunit ribosomal RNA
Source: RNAcentral
UACGUAGGGGGCAAGCGUUAUCCGGAUUUACUGGGUGUAAAGGGAGCGUAGACGGAAAGGCAAGUCAGAAGUGAAAGCCCAAGGCUCAACCAUGGGACUGCUUUUGAAACUGUCAAACUAGAGUACGGGAGAGGUAAGAGGAAUUCCUAGUGUAGCGGUGAAAUGCGUAGAUAUUAGGAGGAACACCAGUGGCGAAGGCGUCUUACUGGACCGAAACUGACGUUGAGGCUCGAAAGCGUGGGGAGCAA